UCCCAGGCUUAUUCAGUCGCUCUGCCUGCAUUUACAGCACAUAUGCAAUUGUAAUAAACACUCGCAAAGAAUAAAUGAGGUGUCAGCUUUAUUUGCCAAGGAGAUUCCCAGCUGCGACGUUAAGUUGAUUUCGCGUCUGCGAAACGGUCACAACCCACAACUUCCCAAAAUAGACCAGAAAAGCCGCAGCCCAGUCCUUCCUUCGCGUGUUCAAAAUUCAACACCGUGGAGCUAUGAGGACGCACAAUAAUAAUAAACAGCGCGUUUCUCCCGAGUGUUUUAUCCAUUUCACCCCUUACUUUGGAACUGCAACGAGCUCAAGCGCACAGCCUAAUAAAGGAUAAGCGCCGCCGUUACACCAACUCGCUACUUUUACAGCAGCACUGUUUUCAAAGGCGCGUUUGAGGCAUUUCGCGCGAGCAUUUCGGAAGGAAAGUUAUUCCAUCAUGAUUAUAAUACCUCAGAGAGCAGCAUGCAUCCAUUAUAAAUGAGAUCUAAGAAGACAUUGUGGACCGUCAUGCCCUAACUAAGAGUAAGACGGGAUCGAAAUAAUAGCAGCGAUGCCUACCUUCGCAGCAUUAUCAGUGUUUCAGAUAAGAGAUCAUCAUAAAGGGGGAAAAGCAGCUGAAGAACGGCUUCGUCCCCGGUCAGUCACCAUCUGCAUGGGCAAAGGUGAAAGACGGCGCGGGACAGCGCCUGAUGAUGGAAACACCACCACAAAAGAAGAAGACGUUUCGACGGGAGCGUCACGCGAGCCCGCGCUCCUACGUCAGUUUGGGCUCUCGCUGCACCUGAGGCCACGAUGGUUUCUCCCGUGUCAAAUCUCUUAUCCUCUCAUCAGCAAGAAGUUCUGGCGAUGCAGAGAAAAACAAGUGCGGAUGCUGGGGGGGACCGAAAGUCUCCGAAGUUGUUGCGCCGAACACGCGUUACAGUAGUAGGCGAUCGCGACGGGCUAGUUCAUUUGCAUGACACGAUGAUGAUGUUGUGCAGUUUGAUUAAAUAGUUGCUGCACGUUAUAUAUUAUCAUCCAGAACUGUACGUCUCAUGAUUGAACCUGGGAUGAUUUCAAAUGCAUGAUUUGCCAUUGGUAAUGGUAAUCGAUGAGAGUAGUUAAAUUAAAAUGAAGCAGUGCAGUCCACGUUCAUCAUGCAUUAUCUUUUUGAGUAUAUUGAUUAAUUUGAUUGUAACUAAUUAAUUUCCAAGUGCUUUGCGUGCAUAGGCGUCGAUACUGUAACCAUUCGGAAAGAGGCGCCUGUUUCCCGUUGUGAAAAUGAAAAUGUAGAUGUGAAUAAAAAGCGUGACGCUCCUCA
Molecule: long non-coding RNA, 1310 nt
Filed under: Scleropages formosus (Asian bonytongue)
Lineage: Eukaryota; Metazoa; Chordata; Actinopteri; Osteoglossiformes; Osteoglossidae
Description: lncRNA (ENSSFOG00015029585.1)
Source: RNAcentral